GUGUUACAGCAAUAGGGCAGGGUGAAGACGCAGCUCUGCACAAAAGGGGAGAAAAUCCUGGAUAGGAACCAACCUCCCAGCUCAGCCUCUGCCCCCCAGCUCACAGCUGCCAUCCCAUCAGAGAGCACCAAUGUUGGCAUCAGCUUUUUUUCAAGGUGUUCCAUGGUUUAGAUGUUAGAGUCUUUUCAUCUGUUGCCUGGGUUUCUCUUGAAUAAAAGAAGACUGGCAUAUUUUUCUCCUUUUUGCUGCAAGGAAGGCCUAACGAUAACACCGGAUUUGAAGCACGGUUCUCGGCGUUGAGCACACUGACGGGACCAAGAGUAUUCCAGGAAGAAAAGCUAGAAGACUUUAAAUGCCAUGUUUUUAUUGGAAUGAAGGUGAUUUUUCAAAGGUGG
RNAcentral lists this long non-coding RNA (395 nucleotides) under Cyanistes caeruleus (blue tit). RNAcentral's name for it is "lncRNA (ENSCCEG00000008591.1)". Lineage: Eukaryota; Metazoa; Chordata; Aves; Passeriformes; Paridae. The record is from RNAcentral.